Molecule: ribosomal RNA, 440 nt
Filed under: uncultured bacterium
Lineage: Bacteria
Description: partial 16S ribosomal RNA
Rfam family: Bacterial small subunit ribosomal RNA
Source: RNAcentral
CCUACGGGUGGCAGCAGUGGGGAAUAUUGCACAAUGGGGGGAACCCUGAUGCAGCGACGCCGCGUGAGUGAAGAAGUAUUUCGGUAUGUAAAGCUCUAUCAGCAGGGAAGAAAAUGACGGUACCUGACUAAGAAGCCCCGGCUAACUACGUGCCAGCAGCCGCGGUAAUACGUAGGGGGCAAGCGUUAUCCGGAUUUACUGGGUGUAAAGGGAGCGCAGACGGCUGUGCAAGUCUGGAGUGAAAGGCGGGGGCCCAACCCCCGGACUGCUCUGGAAACUGUAAAGCUGGAGUGCAGGAGAGGUAAGCGGAAUUCCUAGUGUAGCGGUGAAAUGCAUAGAUAUCACGCAGAACUCCGAUUGCGAAGGCAGCAUACCGGCGCUCAACUGACGCUCAUGCACGAAAGUGUGGGUAUCGAACAGGAUUAGAUACCCUAGUAGUC